Molecule: transfer RNA, 72 nt
Filed under: Ictidomys tridecemlineatus (thirteen-lined ground squirrel)
Lineage: Eukaryota; Metazoa; Chordata; Mammalia; Rodentia; Sciuridae
Description: Spermophilus tridecemlineatus (thirteen-lined ground squirrel) tRNA
Rfam family: tRNA
About the family: Transfer RNA (tRNA) molecules are approximately 80 nucleotides in length. Their secondary structure includes four short double-helical elements and three loops (D, anti-codon, and T loops).
Source: Rfam by way of RNAcentral
UGGCUUGUGGCUCGGUGAUAGAGCACUUGCCUAGCAUGUAUGAGUCUCUGGGUUCAAUUCUCAGCACCACAU